Molecule: long non-coding RNA, 22374 nt
Filed under: Panax ginseng (ginseng)
Lineage: Eukaryota; Viridiplantae; Streptophyta; Magnoliopsida; Apiales; Araliaceae
Description: long non-coding RNA (PGIN_LNC008024)
Source: RNAcentral
UCGAAUUAGACCCCUCUCUCUCUCUCAGUAACACCGCACCAAACACGCCCGCUCCUCCCUCUUCCCUCGAACUGUAUCUAUAUCUUUUUGAUCUCUAUCUCUCUAUAUCUACGAUCUCAAUCUACUCUCUGUUUUAUGAGGUUUUAAGUUCUGAAAGCCCCCGAUCUGCUUCGAUCGUGUCCAAAUCUCUAGUUCUGGUAAACUUUUCUGCUCAAAUUCGCUCAAUUAUGAUGUUUAGUAAUGUGAUUUGCUUGAAUUUUGUUGCGGUUAAUUUUACAUGCUAAUAGCUUGAUAGGAACUGACCUAAAAUAAUUCACCAAAACCAAUGAUUUGGUCUUGUCAACAGAACCAUGAAGUUCCACUGAUAAUAAAUUCCUUCGGUCUGUUGUCUGAACUUUGGGAUGGCAGUCCUGUUUUGCUGAGAUAAAAGAGUACAUACCGUGGGACAGAAUAAAUUUGCCUAAAGUGGAUUUGGGGUGUGGUGAUUGGUUCGUUAAAAUUGGUUUAGGAAGUAAACACGAUAAGGGAAAUUUCAUUUAGUAUAAACUUUAGCAAUGAAAACUAUGAUAAGAUAUGAACAUAUAAUGUAAUUUCUGAGGUUUGCAGUUGGAAGAGGAAUAUACGAUUCAUUUUCCAGUUAGGAAGUUUUUCAUGUAUGUUUUGUGAAUGCUUUAAUAAGGCCAAAUGCUUUAAUUUUAUGCUUGUGGGGUUUGUAAACAAACUGAUACUACCUUUGAAUCUGAUUGAAUUCAAUCAGAAAAAAUCUAAACCAAGAACAUAGGUGUACCUGCAAUUAUUAUUUUUUGUGUGUGUGAGAGAGAGAGAGAGGGUCCAUAUUGACAUUCGGAGAGGCAACAAGUGAGAGAAAACCCAAUGGGGAUUAGGCCCCCACAAUGUCCUAAGGUUAAUAAUUUGAUAUUAUUAUAACUUCAUAUGGCUCAAAUGUGCACGAGUGAGCCAUGAUUUUUGGUCUAGUAUACAAAUUUGUAAUUCUUUUUCUGGCAUUUCCAUUUGCACACAAGUUACAGGUGCUUCUGAUAACAGGUUGUGUGUGAAAACAGGUUGUAUUUACACAAAUUCUAGUAUAUAUUUGUGUGUGAAAACAGGUUGUGGCUUUGGAUUUUGAUAAAGUAUUCUGUUAUGGAAGAACAAAGUGUAUUUACAAGUCCAGUCUCUAAACGGAGUGCUGAACAAAGUACAUCUACAAGUACAGGUAACAAACGUUCUAAGAAAUGCACCUCUUCAGUUUGGGAUCAAUUUGAAAAAGUUAUCAUUGAUGAAAAAUUAAAAGUCAAGUGUAAAGAUUGUGGUCAUAUUUAUGCAUGUGAACACGGUACUAGUAAUAUGCUUUGACAUGUUAGCUUAAAACAUGGAACAAAAUUAAUUGACUAUGAGUUAGAAAGGGUGCCUUUAGAUCAAAAUCACUAUCGUGAGCUAAUGGCAAAAGUUAUAAUCAAACACAAUCAUCCCUUCUCUUUUGUGGAACAUGAAGGAAUUCGUGAAGUGCAUCGUUACUUGAAUCCAGAUGUACAAGUUAUCACAAGGAAUACUGCAAGAGCUGAUGUCUUAAGCAUAAAUAAGAAGGAAAAGGAAAAACUUAAGUAUGCUUUAGAAUCUAUUCCUGGUAGGAUAUGUUUAACAUCUGACUUAUGGUCUUCUUUUACUUUGUAUGGGUAUUUGUCUGUUACUGCACAUUAUGUGGAUGAGAAUUGGAUACUACAAGCAAGAAUUUUAAAUUUAAGGUUUUUAGCUCCUCCACAUAGUGGACCUUUAUUAGCAGAGAAGGUAAUUGGUUUGUUAAGAGAGUGGGGGAUUGAGAGGAAAGUGCUCACCAUUACUCUAGAUAAUGCAUCGACAAAUAAUGGCUUGGUAGAUGUUGUGAAGAGUUAUUUGAAUUUGACCGGUACAUUACUUUGUCAAGGGGAAUUUUUUCAUGUGCGUUGUGGUGCACAUAUUUUGAACUUAAUUGUUCAAAGUGGUCUUAAGAUGAUUGAAAAAUGUGUUAACAAAAUUAGAGAAAAUUUGAAAUAUAUGAAAGGGACAAAAGGAAGAUUGAUAAAAUUUGCUGAAUGUAUUGCUCAACUCUCAUUGAAGAGUAGUAAAAAACUUCGCCAUGAUGUUCCAACAAGAUGGAAUUCAACUUACUUGAUGCUUGAUAGUGCUUUGACAUACAAACUUGCAUUUUAUCAGUUACAAUUAGUUGACUCAAAUUUCAAGGAUUGUGCAACAGAGGAAGAAUGGAAAACAGUUGAAAAGAUUGCUAAAUUUUUGAAACCAUUCCAUGAUAUCACUACUCUUUUCUCAAGAACUCAAUACCCUACCUCUAAUCUUUAUUUUCAUGGGGUAUGGAAGAUACAAUCUCUUAUUACGAUGAGAUGGAUGAUCCAAGUAGCAUUUUAUAUAUGGCAAUUGAAAUGAAUGCGAAGUUUGAAAAAUAUUGGGAGUGCUAUAGUUUGGUGUUGUCAUUUGCCGUCAUCUUGGAUCCUCGUUUCAAGUUGGAGUUUGUGGAAUUUGUUUUUAAGAAACUAUAUCCAAGGAUAUACAAUGAAAGGGUGAAAUCUGUUCGUGAUAAGUUGAGUGACCUUUAUAAGGAUUAUUGUCGUUUUUCAACUUAUUCUUCUACAUCCGGUUCAUCUCGUCCAACUUUUUAUGGAGAUAAUGAAGAUGAUAUUGAUGAUAUGGAUGUAAGUAUUGUUUAUUUUCUUAAUUUUGAAGAUGUUUAUAUAUCUACAUGUAGAUAUGCUUACUUGUUUAUUUUUACCUAUUGUGAAAAUUUUGUAGGAGUUGACUCUUUUCUAAGUCAAAAAUAUGGUUCUGAUCGAAGUAAGUCGCAAUUGGAAUCUUAUUUGGAAGAGAGUAGUCUUAAUCGAAAGAUGCAUCUAGAUAUUCUUAGUUAUUGGAAAGCAAAUAGAAAUAGGUAUUCAGUGUUAUCAGUUAUGGCACGAGACAUUCUGAGUAUUCCGAUUACUACUGUUGCUUCAGAGUCGUCUUUUAGCAUUGGAGGCAUAUUAUAACCAAGUACUGUAGCUCAAUCACCCUGAGAAUGCGGAGGCUUUAUUGUGUACUCGAAAUUGGUUGUAUGGCUCAGAUGGUAAAUAUUCAAACAUGACCAAGUUAAAUGUUAAAAUUUUGUUCUUUUGACUUUCUUUAGUUGUUGAUUUUGGAUUUUUUUUAAAUAUAGCCACUGAACAUGAUAAAGAAGAAGAAGAAGAGGAAGAGGAAGAGGAAGAGGAAGAGGAAGAGGAAGAAUUAAUCGUUGACAUCGAGCCUAUAGUUAUUGGACUUGAUAUAAUGGAAAGUAGGGUGGAUUAAGAAAAUUACACAAUUUGGGUGAUCAAUUAUAUUAUUUAAAGCAUGUAUACUAUAUUUGAUCUUGUUAUUUUGGUUUAAAGUCCUUUUCCAUCUCUAUCUCUUCAAGGAGAUUCAACAAUAUGCUUGUCAUGUUAUUCAGGUUAUUGCAGUUACUGGUUAUGGAGGUCUAGUUGAUGUUAUUUCACAAUUUGGAAGUCACUUUUGCACAUUUUAGUGUAGAUGCCUAUGAAAGGAGUUCGAUUAGCCCUUUGGAAUUGACUUUGGAAAAAUAUAUGUUUUGUAAUGUUAAAUUUUAAUAUGUCUGUCUAAUUAAUUAAAUUUUAAUAUGGUCUAUAGAAUUAUAUGGUUUAAUAUGUCUGUCUAAUUAAUUAAAUUUUAAUAUUGUCUAUAGAAUUAUAUGUUUUGUAAUGAUUUUGGCUCAUUUGCAACUUAUAUACCAACACAAAAUUGAUUAAUUCAACAAUGAUUAUCGAUAAUUUUAUUAAAAUAAACGUAGCCAAAUUAAUAAUAAUUAUGUGACAACAUUUAAUUGAUUAGUGAUAAUUUCAUUUAUUAAAAUAUAUAAAUAUAGCCAAAUAAUAAGUUUAUAAAUUAACGUAAGAAUAUUAAUUUCAUAGCUUCAAAGGGAUCAAAUAAAUGGUUAAAGGCAUUAGCUGCUAAGAAUUGCAUAGCUUGAAAAAAAGUAAUUUAAUUACCCUUGUAUCCGUCUCUAUAUCUAUAGUAUAUGUAAGACCCUAACUUUUAUGAAUAAAGAUGAUUUUUCUAUAAAUAUCAUUUUUGAAUAUUAUAGAAUGAAUUUGAUAUAAUGUUAUAGUUGUGGGUAAUAUUUAUAAAUUUUGCAAAGUACGCAAGUUGUUAUAUAAUAUUCGAUUGGUCGGGGAAUAUUCGUUUUAACAGAAAAUAUUCGUACAACAACACAAUCAUUGAUGGACCCCACAACGGAAUUAUUGUCAGAUUGAGAAAACGACAAAAAUACUUUAUGAAAAUAACGGCGGAAAUUUUACCGUUAACUGUUGAAACACCCGGUGUUAAAAGUACAGUAAUACGUGUGGUUGCAUAGUAGCACACGGUAUUGAUUAUUGAUGCUUACGUGAGAAGUCACUCAGUUUUGUUCAAUUAUUGUUACAGUAAUUGUUGCAUAGUAUCUCACGUUAUUUGAUUCAAUUAUUGUCAAUAUUUUGUAUAUUAUUAAAUCAAUAAUUGAGAUAACAAAGUUAUUAAUAUUAUUAUUUUCAAUAUUAACGAUCUCUAGAAGUUCUACCAAGUAGAGGUUUGGUCACCUAAUUGCGCGCCAAUAGGGAAAAAUCUUUAUUGGAAAGCCCCCUCUUUCUUGGGAACGACCUGGUCGAUUAAUAUUGUGAAUUAUAAUAUUGAUGAUAAAUGUUGUUAAAAAUAUUGAGAGGAUUUUUUAUGAAGUAUUUGAUGUAAUUUUGCGUAUUGUUUGGAUCCUCACUUACCCAUUUUUCAAAAAGUCAGGAGUAAGUUAUCUCAGUUUUUGUUAUAUAUAUAUAUGAUGAAAGUGACUUUGGGGGGUGGGGGAUUGAUGUUGGUCAUGGGGGGGAUAAAAAUCAAGUGGUGUAUAUAUAAUAUUGAUAUAUAUAAAUUAAAAGCAUGUGUUUAUAUAUAUAUAUAUUUUAUUUUUUAUUUUUUUGUUUUGUUUUUAUUGGAUGGUUGAUUGAAAAUUUGCAUCCGUGAUUCUCAAAGUUUUCAUCCGUGAGUUGCGCAUCUAUUGCAUCAGUGAUUUUUUGCACAGUGCCCUUCUAUUCUCCUAUAAAUAGGAUGCUUAGUUAGAAUUGAAAAUCACACCAGAAAUUCAGAGAAUUCUCUUCUAUAAUCUUGAGCAUAUUUUUUUAGAGUUUUAAUAAGCUUUGAGCAUAGUGCAAGUUUUCUUCAAGAAUAUCUUCGCCCUACCAAUUGGAAUACUCUUCUUUUACGGUAAGGGGUAUUAUUUCUUUCUUAUUCAUGAAGAGAACUUCUGUUAUUCUAUUCUUUAUUAUUCUGUUGAAAUAACCUGUAUACGCGGGCUACCCUAUACUUGGUGAAUUUAUUCUGUUAUUCCACUUUUUAUCAUUAUGUUGGAAUAACCUGUCUAUGCGAAGUACCGCAUACAUGGUGAAAUUCUUCUGUUAUUCCAUUUUUUAUUAUUCUGUUGGAACAUCCUGUCUGUACGUUAUGCAUGACCUGGUUCCGUUAUUUAUUAUUCUGUUGGAACAUCCUGUCUGUGCGUUUACGCAUGACCUGGUUCCGUUGUUUAUUAUUUUGUUGGAAUAACCUGUCUAUGCGGUCUAUCGCAUGCCUGGUGAUUUUUUUUGUUAUUCCAUUCUUUAUUAUACUCAGUUGGUUAAAAUUUUGACUUCUAUACUCCAUGAAAUUAGUGGAAUAUCCUUGAUAUUUGCGCUUCAUCUAGUAUCUUUUCAUGGAAAUAUUCUUCUGAGCAUUCUUGUUAAAUUUUAACUUUUCCAUGUCGGGGUACUAUUCACGGGAUUACUAUUCCCGAAGUUACUAUUCACGGGGUACUAUUCACUCGGUUACUAUUUACCCGGGGUACUAUUCAUGACAAAAAAUAAUUUUUUUCCCGAUCCAAAUCAUCCUCUGCCUCGCGCAGCCCAGUGUCGGCUCCGCCCCUGGUAGCUCAUCCUCUGCCUCGGUUCCUCCGACCGCGUCGUGGACUCGGCCCUCGCCGCUGACCUCGGUCUUCACCGGCUCAUUAUAUAUACUAAAUAUACUAAAAUAGUCGUAUAUUUGGUUGCUGAAAUUGAUUAUUUAGUGCCCUUAUUCUAGAUUUUUGUAGUAUUGAUAGAUUGGGUGGAUCUGUAUGUAUAUGUGAUGGUAGAUCGACUGGAUCUCGUUGUGGUGGUAGUAGAUCUAUUGAUGGCGUGAUUUUGAGAGGCGACGGUGCAUAGUGGUGGAUUUGUUGGUGAUGAUCUGAAUUUUGUUGGUGGAUUAUACGGAUCUGAAUUUUGUUGGUGGUGUUGAUGUCCCUAGUGGUGAUAUUAGAUGUUGGAGGUGGUGGUGGUGGACUGGGUGGUUCACUAAAACUUAUUUCACUAAAUAUUAAUGUAAGACCCGAAUUUUCAUAAAUAAAGAUUAAUUUUUUUCGAAAUAUAUUUUUGAAUAUUAUGGUGUGGAUAUGAUAUAAUGUUAUAGUUGUGGGUAAUAUUUAUAAAUUUUGCAAAGUAUGUAAGUUGUUAUAUAAUAUUCUAUUGGUCGGGGAAUAUUCGUUUUAACAGGGAAUAUUCGUACAACGACGCAAUCAUUGGUGGACCCCACAGCAUAAUUAUUAUCGGAGUUAGAAAACGACAUAAAUAUCUUUUUAUAAAAAUAACGGCGGAAGUUUUACCGUUAAACUGUUGAAAUACCCGGUGGUAAAAGUACAGUAAUACGCGUGGUUGCAUAGUAGCACACGGUAUUGAUUAUUGAUGCUUACGUGAGAAGUCAGUCAUUUUUGUUCAAUUGUUGCUACAUUAAUUGCUGCAUAGUAUCUCACGUUAUUUGAUUUAAUUAUUGUCAAUAUUUUAUAUAUUAUUAAAUCAAUAAUUGAGAUGACAAGUUAUUCUAAUUAUUAUAUGCAUAAUUAACAAUGUCUAGAAAGUUCUGUCGAGGAAAGGGGUUUGGUCACCUAAUUGCGCGCCAAUAGAGAGAAAUUCUUAUCGGAAAGCCCCCUCUUUCUUGGGAACGAUCAGGUUGUUAAUAGUGCGAAUUAUAAUAAUAAUGAAUGAAUGUUGUUAAAAACAUUGAAGGAAUUUUGUGAAGUAUUUGUGUAACUUUUGCUUAUAAUAUGGACCCCUAUUUACCUAUUUUUCAAAACUGUCGGUAGAAGUUAUCUCAGUUGUUUAUAUAUAUAUAUAUAUAUAUAAGUAUUAUUUAUAUAUAUUUUGUNNNNNNNNNNNNNNNNNNNNNNNNNNNNNNNNNNNNNNNNNNNNNNNNNNNNNNNNNNNNNNNNNNNNNNNNNNNNNNNNNNNNNNNNNNNNNNNNNNNNNNNNNNNNNNNNNNNNNNNNNNNNNNNNNNNNNNNNNNNNNNNNNNNNNNNNNNNNNNNNNNNNNNNNNNNNNNNNNNNNNNNNNNNNNNNNNNNNNNNNNNNNNNNNNNNNNNNNNNNNNNNNNNNNNNNNNNNNNNNNNNNNNNNNNNNNNNNNNNNNNNNNNNNNNNNNNNNNNNNNNNNNNNNNNNNNNNNNNNNNNNNGGUUAACUUUUAAUUAUUAUUCUUAUAUAUAUAUAUAUAUAUAUUAUAAUAAGUUUUAUUUUUUAUGAAAAAUAAAAUAUAUUAAAUUUUAUUCGCAUAGUAUUUUAUUAUGCAGUGCACAGUAGCAAAACCUGUGAAUUUUGAAAAUCAGCAGAAACGAUUCGUACGCCCGUGAUAUUCUUCCACUGUGCAGUCUGUUUCUUAACAGUACCCCUUCCAUUUUCCUAUAAAUAGGAUGCUUAGUUAGAAUUGAAAAUCACACCAGAAUAAGAGAAUUCUUCUUCUAUAAUCUUGAGCGUAUUUCUUUAGAGUUUAAGAAAGCUUUGAGCGUAGAAAAUAGUGCAAGUUUUCUUCAAGAAUAUCACCGCCCUACCAGUUGGAAUACUCUUCUUUUCAAGGUAAGGGAUGUUAUUUUUGUUCAAUAUUCGCUUGAAAUAAUAUUUUAUUCCAUACUCUGUAGUAUGUAAGUAAUAUUAUUUCGUUUCAGAUUUCGAAUUCUAUACUCAUUUGGUUAAAGUUUUGGCUUCUAUACUCCAUAAAAUUAGUAGAAUAUCCUUGAUAUUUGCGUUUCAUCCAGUAUCUUUUCAUGGAAAUAUUAUUUUGAGCAUUUUUGAUAAAUUUUAACUUUUCCAUGUCGGGGUACUAUUCACGGGGUUACUAUUUCCGAAGUUACUAUUCACGGGGUACUAUUCACUCGAUUACUAUUCAGCCGGGAUACUAUUCAUGACAAAAAAUAAUUUUUUUUCGAUCAAAAUCAUUUUGAUACAAUAUUAUUCUUAAAUUUUACUCCACAAAGCAGUAUCAUGUUGACAAUUUGGGCAUUAUUAAAUUCUGGAUAAAUUAAAUUAUAAAUCUUUAAAAAUUUAUCAUUUGCCUUCUUUUAAUUGAAUUCUUAUAUCAUUGUCAUCAUCCUCAUGCUUAUAGUAUGUUGAAAGUCAUCUUUGGUCGUAGUGCAUAGAUGGACUUGGUAUGAUUAUGACCAGAUAUUAUUCGGUAUAAUCAUGACCGUAAUGUUACAAAUGAUGUGGUAAAAGUCCUCAUUGGUCCGUAGUGCAUUGAUGGACAGUUGUUGGCAUGAUCAUUACCAUUGAUGAAAACACGAAUAUGCUUGGGCCGUAGUGCAUGGAUACUUUGUGGUCGUGAUACUAAUGAAUAUCAUUGGCCGUAGUGCAGGGAUAAUUCAAUUAUGUGGAUUAUUUAUUAAGCUGAGUCUCAGCGAUAAAAGUAAUGAAAAACCUUUUAAAUCAUAGAAGAUAGUAGAUUUCAUACUCUACUUGACUCUUCUAAUGGAUUGUUUGUUCCGCUGUAGUUAAACUUGAUGUCUAUUGUAUUUUAUCAGUUUAACACUGUUGAAGGCUAAUGAUAAUUUAUUCUGCAUUAUCUUAGUCAUAAUAUUUUUUACUGGGUUAGUUGAGCUCACUCUUUGCUUUCAUUGUUCUCUUUAGGAAAUGAGAAUAUAGCUGGGACUAGUCGGGGAACGGAGUGACGGUCCAGAUAGUAGCAUUAGUAGUCCUCAUUAUUCUGUGAAAUAGUGUGACAAGAAAUGUAUUGAUGACUUAUUUUGAGUUUGAAUACUGUCUAGAAGACAAUAUUUGUAUUAAAACUCACAACUAAUGUUGUAUAUUUAAGUUUGUAUUUGUAUUCGGUACCAUGUAUUUGACAACUCAGAAUGGGUGAUGUAUACCUAUUUUGGGAGCGUCAUAGUUGGUAUCAAAGCUUAGGGAUAUGAUCCCUAGCUAAGAUGUGAGACUAUAACUAGGGGGAGAGACGAGUAAUUCCUUCGCUAGUAUGACCUACCUAACUUUAUUUGUUAUUUAAUUGGUCGGUUAGAAUAUAGGGAUAUUAUGUGGUGUGUCAAUUAACCAUUGUUUUGUGGAAGUAUUUGAAAAUGACAUCCGAGAAUGUUGAGAAUAGCAAUAGAGCACAGGAGACCGUUGAGUCACAACAGAUCAAUACCCAGGAUAAUGUGCAAUAGGAAGACAAUAAUCCUUAGGUAAACAACAACACUGAUCAAAUGAUGAACGAUGGGAUGUUCAGAGGCUUUAUACAAUUCAUGCAACACCAGGCGAGAGUGGCUCCUGUCCAAAAUACAGGUGGAAACACUGGCAACUCUCGGACGAUCACCGCUAAGCAGUUCAAGGAGCUGGGACCACCAGAGUUUAUUGGAGAGCCAAAACCACUUAACGCGGAGACGUGGAUAAAGCAGAUCACCAAGAUAUUUGAUGUCUUGGGAUGCUCCGAGGAGCAAAAGGUUCCCUUUGCCACCUUCAUGUUGCGAGGCAGAUUACUUGUGGGAAUCUGUAAAACGUACUCAACCUGCCGAACUGAAGAUGUCUUGGAAGAGGUUCCAAGAACUGUUCAACGACAAGUACUUUCCCCAAAGUAUUCGUCACAUGAAGGAGGUAGAGUUCAUCAAGCUGGAGCAAAACAAUAUGACCGUGUCGCAGUACGAAGCUAAGUUUGUCGAGUUAUCCCGGUUUGCACCCCACUUAGUUGAUAACGAGGAGAGAAUGACACUGAUGUUUCUAAGAGGUUUGAAACCCGAGAUACGUCAAUAUCUUAUCUCUCACAAACUGUGUUUGUAUUCAGAUGUUGUAAAUAGGGCUCAGUUAUUGGAGCGCGAUAAUGAGACAUCCCAACCAAAGGAAAGCAACCGACAAAAUGAUAAUACCAGUGGUAGCAGUCAUCAAAGCGGCGAUAACAAACGUGGAGGGAAUCAACAUGCCAGAAAUGGUAACCACUUCGGUGGUAAUCAUGGCCAAGACAAUAAAAGUGGACAUUUCAAGAAGAGGAGAUUCAACAAUGAGGGAAAUACGUCAACACCAACACCCGUUGUUAAGGAAGGAGAACGACAACCUAUCAUAUGCUUCAAAUGCGGAGGGGAGGGACACAACAGUCCAAACUGUGCGCAUCAGUCCAAAACGUGUUACAAUUGUGGAAGAGAAUGUCACCUAGCUAGAUUUUGUCGUACAUGGAAGCCAAGUUCAGUUGGAACGGUGACACCAAAUGCCGUCCCAGACAAGUCAAAACCAGUAGUUCAAGGGAGAGUGUUUGUUGUGACCUCCUAGAAAGCAAGGAACCCGAACGAGGUCAUCACGGGUGAGCUUAUCAUAAACUCUAGCAAAGUAUAUACCUUAUUUGAUACCGGUUGUACCCAUUCUUUUAUUUUUUCUACUUGCGCUCAACGUUUAAAUUUAACUCCGAAGAAAUUAGACUUUGACUUAUCUGUUGAAACUCUGUUGGGAGAAACCUUCAUUAUAUCCACUGUUUAUAAGUCUUGUUUGGUUCAAAUCGGUACCCUCACAUUACCUGUCGAUCUUAUUUCCUUAAAAAUACUUGUGUUUGACGUAAUUCUAGGGAUUGAUUGGUUAACUACUCAUCAUGCAAAAAUUGAUUAUUUUCGUAAGGUUGUUAGCUUUCAUAUUCCUAGCCAACCUAUUAUGCAAAUUCAAGCAACCAAGCCAUUAAAAUCAAUCACUGACAUCUCAAGCUAUAAAGCUAUUCGUUUAUUGAAAAACGGAUGUCAAGCUUUCUUAGCUCAUGUCACGGAUUUAAACAAAAAUACGUCAGAUUGAAUGAUAUUUCUAUUGUCAAUAAAUUUCCUGACGUAUUCCCUGAAGAACUUCCUGGCCUACCCCCAGAGCAUGAAAUUAAAUUUUGUAUCGACCUUGAACCCGGUAAAAAAAUCCAUUUCCAAAGCCCCAUAUCGAAUGGCUCCUAUUGAACUUCAGGAGUUAAAGACCCAACUGCAGGAAUUAUUAGACAUCAGUUUCAUUCGUCCUAGUACGUCUCCUUGGGGUGCUCCUGUUCUAUUCAUGAAGAAGAAAGAUGGGAGUAUGCCACUUUGUAUUGAUUAUCGAGAGUUGAACCAUGUCACUGUCAAAAAUAGAUACUCGUUGCCUCGCAUUGAUAACUUGUUUGACCAGUUGCAAGGCGCCAAAUUCUUUUAAAGGAUCAAUCUUCGUUCCGGAUAUUAUCAAUUAAAGAUUAAAACCGAUGACAUUCAAAAGAUUACUUUCAGAACUCGGUACGGGCAUUACGAAUUCCUAGUCAUGUCCUUUGGAUUGACUAAUGCUCCUGCUGCCUUCAUGUAUAUGAUGAAUCGAGUAUUCAAGGAAUAUUUGGAUCACUUUGUGGUCGUCUUUAUUGAUGACAUCCUCAUUUACUCCAAAAGCCGUGAAGAUCAUGAGCAACACUUGAGACUGAUACUUCAAAAGCUUCGUGAAAACAAGUUUUAUGCCAAGUUAAAGAAAUGCGAUUUCUGGCUUGAGUAAGUAACAUUCCUUGGGCACGUGAUAUCAAAUCACGGAAUAUCUAUUGACCCGAUAAAUAUUGAAGCAAUUCAAAGCUGGGAACAACCUAAGUCAGUGAAUGAAGUACGUAGCUUUCUCGGCUUAGCUGGUUAUUAUCAGAGAUUCGUAGAAGGGUUUUCUCUAAUGGCUACUCCAUUAACUCAGCUGACUCGGAAAGAUACAAAAUUCGGUUGGAGCGAGGAAUGUGAGAAGAGUUUUUAAGAACUCAAGAGGAGGCUCAUUUCAGCACAUGUUCUGACAAUACCAGUUGGUUCAGAGGGAUUUGUCAUAUACAACGAUGCUUCAGGCAAAGGGUUAGGAUGUGUUCUCAUGCAACAUGGGAAAGUCAUAGCCUAUGCCUCUCGACAACUCAAAGAAUAUGAGAGGAAAUAUCCUACUCAUGAUCUAGAGUUGGUAGCUGUUGUCUUCGUACUUAAAAUUUGGAGGAAUUACUUGUAUAGGGAGAAAGUGGAGAUCUUUACGGAUCAUAAAAGCCUCAAAUAUUUCUUCACUCAAAAGGAACUCAACACGCGACAACGACGUUGGCUUGAACUGUUGAAAGAUUAUGAUCAUACAAUUCAAUAUCAUCUAGGAAAAACAAACGUGGUAGCUGACGCAUUGAGUAGAAGAUCAUAUGCGGGUACGAGUGCGAUAUUCUCAACGCAAAGACCCAUUUUGUAUGACUUACAAAGGAUGGAGAUCGAGAUAAAGACUCCAGGGAUCCACGUAAUGAUGGCCAAUAUAUGAGUAGAACCGAAUUUAAUCGAUAAAGUUAAAGCUGCUCAAGCUACAGACCUGGAGCUGAUGCGUAUAUGAGGAAGAAAGUGCAAGAAGGUGCUAUUCCAAAAGCAAGAAUCGAAGAAGAAGGAAUACUUCGAGUCAACUCCAGACUUUAUGUUCCUAACAACCCUGAUUUAAAGUAUAAGAUCAUGAUGGAGGCGCAUAACACACCGUUUGCAAUCCAUCUUGGGAGUACCAAAAUAUAUCGUGAUCUUCGACAUACAUUUUGGUGGAGCAAUAUGAAAAGAGAGAUCGCGGAGUUUAUGUGACAACCCGAGAAUUUGAAUAUUUUUAAAAUUUUUAUUAAUUGAUUUAAGGUUCAAUAUUAAAACCUAGACAGAAAAUAAUUGUAUGCGUUUGAUAUUUUUGAGUAGGAAUUUUGAGGAUUUCAAAAUUCUGUGAAGGAUUUAGGUGAAUUAUUCAGGAUUAAGGGAAUACGUGACUAUGUUCUGGGUAUAUGGUUGUAUAUGUGUACAGUAUAUGGUUAAGGGUCAAGGGUUGACAGAUAAACCCUAAUAUUAUAUUAAGAACGUCAACGUUCAGUUAGAAAAUUCUUACGAUUAACAAGAAACCCUAAAAAUCGGUUCUAGAAACCCUAAUUUCAGUUCCGGUAAUCCGAAACCCUAAUUCAGAAAUUUAAAACCCUAAUCUGGGAACUUAAAGGAUAAUUAUAAUGCUCAAGUGCUAUUAAUUAUAAUAUUAAUUAGGGUAAAGCUUAAUUAUUUAGCAAACCCUAAUUUCAAAUUUAGAAAACCCUAAUUUCUGGGUUUAAAACCCUAAUUUAUAAUUAGGAAAAACCUAAUUGUUAAUUUAAUAAUUUUAAUGUUAAUUAGGAAAUAUUAAUCCUAAUUUUCAAGUUAUAAGUAAUUAGAAAACCCUAAUCUAAUUACGAAAUCUAAUUUCUAAAUUAGAAAAUUAUUUUUCUAUUAGAAACCCUAAUUUUUGUGUUAUAAACCCUAAUGUACAAUUAUGACCCUAAUUGCUAAAUUAGCAAUUUUAAUUAGGAAAUAAUAAUCCUAAUUAGCAAGAUUGAAUUUAUGAUUAGGAAAUAUUAAAUAUAAUUAUAGAAUCCUAAUUAUAAUUUAGAAAUAUUAAUUUUAUUUUUGAAAACCUAAUUUGGAAAUUCUAGAAUUUAAUUUUUUAAAUCCUAAGGGUUCAAACCUUAAAUCCUAAGGGUUCAAACCCUAAACCCUAAAGGGUUCAAACCCUAAACCCUAAGGGUUGGGACAAAAGACCAUCUUGCCAUUAAAAUAAAAAUCAAAAUGAAAUUUUUGCCCUUAGUGCAUUAUUUAUUAGGUUGCUUGUAGAUCUAACCCUAAUUAAGUUGGUGAGCAACCCUAGCCUAUCCAUAUGCAAUAUAUGAAACAUAUCAGCCAUCUAAAUGCCAGCCAACUCAUUAUAUUUAUAAUUAAUAGAGAUUAAAGAGGGAGAAAAUGCCACUUUCAUUUUUCAUUUUCACUAAGGCACUCUCUCUCAUAAAUUUCGGGACUUAGAGUGAGAAAGAGAGAGAAUGAAAGCUAAGAACAUUUCAUAGCUUGCCUAGAUCAGGAAUCAGAAGUCAGAAUCCAAGAUCAAAGCAUCAAAGUGGUAUAAACCCUAAUUUUCAAAAUCCUUAGAUUUGAUGUUAGAUGUUAUGAUUUGUUGUUUAAUGUUGUGUAAUAAGGUGUCUUUUAGUGAUCUGUGUUGUUAAAUCCCAGAUCCAUAACAUUAAAGUACUCGAAAUUUGAGUUUUUAGAAAUCUGGGAAAAGUUUAAAAAAUGGUCUGACAGUCAAAUGUCAGAGGCCUUAAAUCUGUGUGUGUUUGCUGUUUGGUGUAUGUCAUGUUAUAUAUCUGUUCUUUGUAGUAAGGUCUUUAAUCUGGAACUUUAAUCAAGCCCAGAUUAUGUGUAGAUUUUAAGUUAUUAAAGGUCAAAGUACGUUGACCAGCAUUGACUGGCUGUUUCUGGGCAGCCCAGAUUUGCCCAGAACGCCUGACAACAUUUUUGCAGGCCUUGAUCUUGCUUGUGUUUUAUGUUUUUGGUCGUGUUGUUGGUCGAAUGUUAUAGACUGGUAUAUGAACUACUAUUCCAUGCCAAUAUAUCACCUUGAUUAAUAACAGAAUUGUUUAUAUUUAUGGUCAAACCUAGGUUGACCGACUGUCUAGGUACCAUUUCUGGAAAACCCAGAUUCGUGAAGAACAUGAUUUCUGUCAGAACUUUGACCAUGCUUAAUCUCUUUGUAUGAUGUUAUUAGACUGAUUUGGUGCAUGAUACUUGUACCUUGACAUGUGCAAUACAUUAUAGAACCUUUACAUCACACAAAUCAGACCCAGAUUCCAAGUUAUGAAGAUCUAAAGUACCCCACUCGAGUUGUUCUUCAUUUUUGGGAAACCUAGAAAUGAAGAACAACCACUAACAAGAAUUGGGAGGCUUAGAUCUUGAAGAUUUGAUUUGUUUUGGCUAUGGAACUUGCUGUAGAUUAUAGUAUUACAUCAAUACUACAAACAUAUUACACUAGACUUCUCAGAAACCUUAUGAUCAAGAAAUUAUAUGUGGUCAAACCACCUACCUUAGUGACUGACAAAGUUUCUGAAAAAUGCUCAAGAGCACCUAUAGCGACGGUUCUGUCACUAUAGGGCCUUUUAUUAAUUAUUAAUUUUUGAAAAUUAAUAUUUUAAUUAAAUAAAUUGAAAUAAAUGGUUUUUAAUUAUUAAAAAUACAUAAUAAAUUAUAAAAAAUUAUUUUAAAGCCUGAAAAUUAGUUUUUAAUUAUUUAGAGUAUAUUUCAUAAAUAUUUAUUAUUUUUGGAAUAUAAAUGGUAUUUAAUUUAUUUAAUUAUAAUAUUAAAUAAAUUAUUUAAAAAUGAUUUUAAUACUUUAAAAAUCAUGAAAAAUUAUAUUAUGGUAUAAGAAAAUAUUUUAAGUUAUUUUUAAUAACUUUUGAUAUUUUGUGAUGAAAUUCAUUAAUAAAUUAAUAUUAAUGGUAAUUAGUUUAUUUAAUAAAUAUAUUAAAUAAAUUAUGGAAAAAUAGAAUUAAUGAUUUAAAAAUCAUAUAAAAAUGAUUUAAGUGUUAUAAAAAUAUUUUAAGUUAUAAAAUAUAACUUUCGAUAUUUUGUCAUGAAAAUAUUAAUAUUUUAAUAUUAAAAGCAAUAAUCGGAUAAUGGAUUUAAGUGUUUAAAAAUCAUAUAAAUAUGAUUUUAAAGUAUUAAAAAUACUUUGUGAUAUUAUUAAAUAUAUUAUAAUAUUAUGUCAUGUAUUUCAUUAAUAUUUGAUAAUAAAUAGAUAUUAAUGAUAAUAGAAUAUUGUGGUAUUUAUGUUAUUUAAAUACGAUAUUAAUGAUUGAAAAUUUAUGAUAAGUAGUAAUAAUUAUUUAAAAAUUAUUGCGAGCUUAUGAAAAAUAUUUUGACUGUUAAUAAAUUAUCUUAGAUAAUGGUUAAGUGUUUAGACAUAGUUUAAUUGAACUUAAACUCGAGAUUUGUCCGACUAGACCAUCGGGAUGUCAAAUUUGUGUCGGGUUCAACUCAGACUGCAAUAGUUUGACUUGAUACCGAGUCCUAUGUGUAUUGUAAACUGAUAGGGUUAUGUGUUAUGUGUUAUGUAUUUUGUUUAUUCUAUGUAUAUCUAUAUAUAUAAUAGUAUUAUAUUGUGAUGAUAUUAUUCUAAUAUUGGAGAUCUAUAUUACUAAUAUUAGGUCUUCGAAUAAAGCGUUAUAAAUUGUGUAGCAGUAAUUAACCGAAUAGGCAAGUUUUACUUAACUCUAAUAUUCAUUUGGUCGUGGAAUAUUCUUGUGAUGAGCAAGUUUUAUAUUAUGAUGAUAUUAUUCUAAUAUUGAAUAUUCGUUUGGUCGUGGAAUAUUCUUGUUAUCGGGGAAUAUUCAAUCUUCGUAUUCGUACAUAGUACCGUAUACGUAAAAAAUGUUAUAUACAUGAAUAGUGUCAUAUACGUGAAUAGUGUCAUAUACGUGAAUAGUGCCGUAUACGUGAAUAGUAACCCCGACACAAAAAAGGUAGAACUUCCACAAUAAAAUACAUACCAAUAUUUUGGUAUAAUGAUAUUGAAAGAAUAACAUCAUUACAAAAAAAAUAUCCCUUACAAUCCCUUAAAAUCUCUUACCUCAAAAGAGCAGUAUUUCUAACUGGAAUAUCGGAUAUAACGCUGAAGAGAACUUGCACCGUAUAGCCACACUCAAAGUAUCAAAAUACUCACAAAAAUACGCUCGAUAAUAUAGAGAGAGAAAACUUCAGUUUCUGGUGUGAUUUUCAAUUCUAACCUAAGCACCUUAUUUAUAGGAAAAUACUUAGAACACCAAAGCAGAAAAUUUAAUAAAAUAUAUUAUUAAUAAUAAAAUUUCAUACGCCUCCUUGGAAAUAAGCUCUUAGCAUUUCCCACAUGCCCACCUUCUAGAAAAAGUAAGAAAAAACGUUUUUCAUAAAAUAAAUAAUUAAAACUUUCAAAAAUCAAUUAUUUCGGAACUUCGGAACUUCAAUAAUUCAUAAUAAAUAGCCCUUUUGUCAGAAAAAUUCGAACCACAUGUCCUUUCCAUAGGAAAUUUCAUUCUCUACAACUUUGUAAGUUUAAGUUUUUCCAAAUUCCAAACAGAAAUUGACCGAAAUCCACAAACGGGCGAUUUUACAGUCUAUAAUCAAUUUUCGGUCAAGAAUUGUGUCCACCGACACACAAAACAUAUGUUAAACAUUUAAUGCCACAAAAUACUCUACCUCCUCAUAUACUCAUAUAUCCCACAUUCAUUAUAAAAAUAUCACCGUUAAUAUAUUAUUAAAAUAAUAUAUUUAAAUGAAUUAUUUUAUCAGAAAAAGAUAAAAUAUUAAUUUUCAACAAUUGUCACAUUAAAAAUUUUCUCCAUCUAUAUCCACAUAAAAUGAAUAUUUUCCUUAUCAUAUAAAUCAAUAAUUAAUUAUUCACAAAUAAUAUUACAGAAUUACAAUAAUGACAACCAGGCCGUUCCUAGGAAAGAGGGGGCUUUCCAAUAAGGAUUUCUCCUUACUGGCGCGCAAUUAGGUGACCAAACCUCUCCUUAGACAGAACUUUCUAGACAUUGUCAAUAAUGUUAUCUAGUAAUAUUAUUAAAAUAAUAUGAAUUAUUGAUCUGAUAAUGGAAAAUACUGUGCAGUGACAAUUAUUGAAACAACAAUAAUAUAAAAUAUGAACGUAGCAAUUAUUGAAUCGAUAAAAUAAAAUAUUGAACAGUAAUUACUGUAACAAUUAUUGAGUAGUGACUUUUUAGGUAAGAAUCAAUAAUUCAAAAAUAGUGUGCAAUACCGUGUGCUACUGUGCAACAACGCGUAUUACUUUACUUUACCCACUGGGUAUUCCAAUAGUGUUAAUGGUAACGAUUACGCCGUUAUUUAUAAAAACUUAAAUUUGUCGUUUUCUCCAUCCGACAGUUGUUCUAUUAUGGGGCCCACAAAUGGCAGCGCCGUCGUACGAAUAUUCCCCGAUAACAAGAAUAUUCCACGACCAAACGAAUAUUCCCCGACAACAAUGAAUAUUUUAUAACCACUUGCUUAUUUUGAAAAAAAAUAAUUUCACCCAUAACUUUAAACUUUUAUCAAUUUAACCAUUUACUGAAUAGUAUUCAUAAGAAAAAUUGAAUACUUUUAUUAUAUAAAAUUCGGGGUCUUACACUAUGGAUCUAUGAUAGAUCAUCAUAGAUCACCAUAAAACAUCUUCUAGCAAACAUCUAAACACAUAAACACUAACUCUAUCUUAGCAUACAAGAUCAAAAUUAAUUUAGGGUUUAUACCUCUUUAGACUUUAAUUUUUGAAUGUGAUCCUUGGAUCUGUUAUUGGAAGGCUAAGAAUUGAUCCUAGCUUUGAUUCUCAUUCUCUUUCUCUCUCAGUCCCGAAAAUGAAGAGAGUGAAUGGUCUUGGAGAAAUGAGAAAUAAUAAAGUAGCCACUUUCUCUCUCUUAAUCUAUUUAUUUGAUACAAAUGCAAUGCACAUGGCUGAUACAAGGGGCAAGAUAGCUGGUAUGUGUCACAUGGCUGGUACAUAGUUGGUCACCAACUCAAAAUAUUGCAAGAUUUGCAAGCUAACUAAUAAAGAAUGCUAAAAGGGGUAAAAUGGUCAUUUAGAUUUUAUAAUUACUGGUAACAUGGUCUUUUGCCCUAACCCUUAGGGUUUAGGGUUUGAACUCUUAGGAUUUAGGGUUUGAACCCUUAAGUUUUAAAAAUAAAUUCUAGGAUUUAUUAAAUUAGGUUUUCAAAAUCGAAAAUUAAUAUUUCUAAAUUAGAAUUAGAAUUUUUUAAUUAUAUUAAAAUUUCCUAAUCAUAAUUUAAAUCUUGAUAAUUAGGAUUAAUAUUUCCUAAUUAAAAUUGCUAAUUAAGCAAUUAGGGUCAAAAUGGUACAUUAGGGUUUAUAACCCAAGAAUUAGGGUUUUAAAUAGAAAAAUAAUUUUUCUAAUUUAGAAAUUAGGUUUCCUAAUUAAAUUAGGGUUUUCUAAUUACUUAUAACUUGAAAAGUAGGAUUAAGGUUUCCUAAUUAACAUUAAAAUUAUUAAAUCAACAAUUAGGUUUUCCUUAAUUAUAAAUUAGAGUUUCUAAUCCAUAAAUUAGGGGUUUCUAGAUCAAUUAGGGUUACCCCUAAUAAGGUUAUUAUUAAUAACUUUUAAACCUUAAACUAGCAUUUGAAUCCCCAAACUAGGGUUUUAAAUUUCUGAAUUAGGGUUUCGGAUUCCCGGAACAAAAAUUAGAGUUUCCAAAAUCGAUUUUAGGGUUUCUUAAAAUUCGCUAGGGGUUUCUAACCGAACGAUGAUGUUCUUAAUAUAAUAUUAGGGUUUGCCACUGAUAUACGUUAUCAUAUACUGUACAUGUAUACAACCAUAUACACAAAACAUAUACUCUUAUACCCUUAAUCCUGAAUAAUUCACCAAAAUCCUUCACAGAAUUUUGAAAUCCUCAAAAGUCUUUCUCAAAAAUAUCAAACGCAUACACUUAUUUUACGUUUAGGUUCUAAUAUUGAACCUUAAAUCAAUUAAUUAAAAUUUUCUAAAUUUUUUAAAUUCUCGGGUUGUCACAUAUACGAGAAACUUAUACACUUAUACGUCUUUCUCGUAUUUACAUAAAUGAGAUUGUAAGACUGCAUGGUAUGCCAGUAUCCAUAGUUUCUGAUCAAGACCCAAGAUUGACUUCACGAUUUUGGGUUAGUUUGCAAAAAGCUAUGGGAACGGAUUUACGAUUUAGUUCGGCGUAUCUUCCUCAAACGGACGGACAGUCGGUGAGGACUAUUCAAACUCUUGAGGAUCUAUUAAGACUCUGUGUCCUUGACUUCAAAGGAAGUUGGGACAAGUUCUUGCCAUUGGUGGAAUUCUCCUAUAACAACAGUUAUCAAGCAAGUAUCGGCAUAACUCCAUUUGAAGCGUUGUAUGGAAGAAAGUGUCGUUCUCCAGUAUGCUGGGACGAGGUGGGUGAAGGAACGUUGUUGGGACUGGAAUUGGUACGUAUGACUACGGAGAAGAUUCAAAUGAUCCGACAACGUAUAAAAACCUCACAAGAUCGACAAAAGAGUUAUGCUGAUCUUCAUCGGAAGGACGUGGAAUUCAAUGUUGGAGAACAUGUGUUGUUACGUGUUGCUCCAUGGAAGGGAGUGAUGAGAUUUGGAAAGCGAGGAAAGCUCAAUCCUCGAUUCGUUGGCCCAUUUGAAAUCCUUGACCGAGUAGGAACUGUGGCAUAUAGACUCGCUUUACCACCAAGUAUGUCUCGUGUUCAUAACGUUUUUCACAUAUCCAUGUUACAUAAAUAUAGGAAGACCCGAACCACAUUAUUGAGUUAGACCCGGACGAAAUAGUGGAAGAUUUAACGUAUGAAAAGGUACCUAUUAAAAUCUUGGAUAAGAAAGAACAUAUUCUACGCUCCAAGGUUAUACCUCAAGUCAAAGUUUUGUGGAGAAACCACGAUGUUGAGGAAAUGAUCUGGGAGUUAGAAUUCGAAAUGAAAUCAAGGUAUCCUCACCUCUUCGACAUACCAGGUACGUACCCUAAUUUCAAGGACGAAAUUUUAUAAGAAAGGGAGGUUGUAAGACCCCAAUUUUCAUAAAUAAAGAUUAAUUUUUCUCAAAAUAUAUUUUUGAAAAUUAUGGUGUGGAUUUGAUAUAAUGUUAUAGUUGUAGGUAAUAUUUAUAAUUUUUUCAAAGUAUGCAAGUUGUUAUUUAAUAUUCGAUUGGUCGGGGAAUAUUCGUUUUAACAUGGAAUAUUCGUACAACGACGCAAUCAUUGGUGGACCCUACAGUGGAAUUAUUGUCGGAGUUAGAAAAUGACAGAAAUAUCUUUUUAUAAAAAUAACGGUGAAAGUUUUACCGUUAAACUGUUGAAAUACCCGGUGGUAAAAGUACAGUAAUACACGUGGUUGCAUAAUAGCACAUAGUAUUGAUUAUCGAUGCUUACGUGAGAAGUCACUCUAUUUUGUUCAAUUAUUGCUACAGUAAUUGCUGCAUAGUACGUAUCUCACAUUAUUUGAUUCAAUUAUUGUCAAUAUUUUAUAUAUUAUUAAAUCAAUAAUUGAGAUGACAAGUUAUUCUAAUUAUUAUAUGCAUAAUUAACAAUGUGUAGAAAGUUCUGUCGAGGAAAGGGGUUUGGUCACCUAGAUGUUUGACGUUCUUUAAUGUGAUCUUAUCUAAACAAAGCAUGCUAGGUGACUUUAAUACAAUGGCUAUCGUAAAUGGGAACCUACCAAAAGCUAUAUUAUUUUUGAUGGUUGGAGGGUUCCUCAACUUUCGAAGAGGAAUUGGAUAGCAUUGACCAGACAAAGUCAGGCUGAAAGACUAUAAAUCAAGCGCUGACUGGGAGGCAACCCAGGAAUUUUUAUAUUUAUAUGCUUUACUAGUUUAUUUAGUAGAUAGGAAUUAAUUUGCUUAGUAAGUUCUCUUAUAAUCUAAUACAUGUUGUCUCUCUUCAUUGCAGGUAUUGGAGGUUCAAUGGAUAGGAAAAUGAUCGUCGCUACCAUCGCCACCAGCACCUCACGCUUAGCUGAUUACAGGGAAGUUCUCUUCUACUUAUCGCUAUAUUCUUACAAUGAGGACAUUGUAAUUGCUAAGUUUGGGGGAGUUUAGUUUAGUUCGUUAUUGCAUGUUUAGUUUCAUGUUUAUGUUAUGUUAUUUUGCAUAUGUUGUUAAUAUAGUUUAGGUUCAUUAUAAAAAAAAAAAUUCAAAAAAUUCAAAAAAAAAUUCAAAAAUAAUAGUUAGUUACUAUGUUCAUUUUGAAUAAGUCCACUGGUUUGUUAUAGUUAAGUUUAUUUUGGCCAAUGAUGAGAUUGGAAUUGGGUAGACAAGUAUAAUAUUGACUAUUAGAGCUUUGAUGUGAUUUCUUGUUAUGAAUUGAAUCUUUUUCUGUUUGAAACUAGUAUAAUAAUGAUAGCACAGUAAAAACAACUUGUUGAUUGAUUGAGUUUAAAUUGAUACAUAAUGGGACUCUAAAGGAUAAUUCUAGUUUGAAUGAAAGAAUGACAGAAUAAGUAGUGAUGACUAAAGUUAGACAAGAACCUAAGUUUGGGGGAAUAUAUGUGGGGUAUAUAAGCUUUAAAAAAAUGGAAAAAAAAACAUGUUGAGUCUUGUAGUGGGUUGAGGAGAAACACUCCCCAUAAACAUAAGCGUGAGAUGGAGCGUAAAACACACUCACCAACCAUCUAUCAAAAGAAAAAGAAAAGGGAAAUAAUCACGGGAAAAGAGCAAAAAGCCCCCGUGUAAAAAAAAAAAGAGAAGGAAGAAAAUAAAGUAUAAGUAUCCUGCAUGUACCCUUGAAUUUGGUUGAGUUUAAUUUUAGUUGAAUCGUGCCUAUCUUUGAGAUUUCUUGAGUUUACACUGUAUGAUGCCUUCNNNN